UACGGAGGGUGCGAGCGUUGUCCGGAAUCACUGGGCGUAAAGGGCGCGUAGGUGGCACGGGUAGUCGUCGGUGAAAGCUCAGGGCUCAACCCUGAGUCGGCCGGUGAUACUCCCGAGCUCGAGUGUGGCAGAGGGGGGUGGAAUUCCGCGUGUAGCAGUGAAAUGCGUAGAGAUGCGGAGGAACACCGAUGGCGAAGGCAGCCCCCUGGGCUGACACUGACGCUCAGGCACGAAAGCGUGGGGAGCAAACAGG
This 253-nucleotide ribosomal RNA is filed under the name uncultured bacterium. Its description in RNAcentral is "partial 16S ribosomal RNA". It matches the Rfam family "Bacterial small subunit ribosomal RNA", at positions 524 to 776 of the family's 1533-position model. The record is from RNAcentral.